Molecule: transfer RNA, 73 nt
Filed under: Hephaestus fuliginosus (sooty grunter)
Lineage: Eukaryota; Metazoa; Chordata; Actinopteri; Centrarchiformes; Terapontidae
Also listed under: 1 other name
Description: tRNA-Pro
Rfam family: tRNA
About the family: Transfer RNA (tRNA) molecules are approximately 80 nucleotides in length. Their secondary structure includes four short double-helical elements and three loops (D, anti-codon, and T loops).
Source: RNAcentral
CAAGGAAUAGUUUAAAUGUUUAGAAUUCUAGCUUUGGGAGCUGGAGGUAAGAGUUAAAGUCUCUUUUCUUUGA